UCGGGAAUUUUGGGCAAUGGGCGAAAGCCUGACCCAGCAACGCCGCGUGAAGGAUGAAGGCCUUAGGGUUGUAAAAUCCUUUCGUUGGGGACGAUAAUGACGGUACCCAAAGAAGAAGCUCCGGCUAACUUCGUGCCAGCAGCCGCGGUAAUACGAAGGGGGCUAGCGUUGUUCGGAUUUACUGGGCGUAAAGCGCGUGUAGGCGGACUUGUAAGUUGGGGGUGAAAUCCCGAGGCUCAACCUCGGAACUGCCUCCAAAACUACAAAUCUGGACCUAAGUAGAGGCAAGUGGAAUUGCGAGUGUAGAGGUGAAAUUCGUAGAUAUUCGCAGGAACACCAGUGGCGAAGGCGACUUGCUGGACUUAUGGUGACGCUGAGACGCGAAAGCGUGGGGAGCAAACAGGAUUAGAUACCCACGUAGUCCCUGAGCGGGCUGGCAAGGCGCAU
RNAcentral lists this ribosomal RNA (447 nucleotides) under uncultured bacterium. RNAcentral describes it as "bacterial SSU rRNA". It matches the Rfam family "Bacterial small subunit ribosomal RNA", at positions 355 to 825 of the family's 1533-position model. The record is from RNAcentral.